UACGGGGGGGGCAAGCGUUGUUCGGAAUUACUGGGCGUAAAGCGCGUGUAGGCGGCUUUGCAAGUCGGAUGUGAAAUCCCACGGCUCAACCGUGGAAGUGCAUCCGAAACUGCAUCGCUAGAGUCUCGGAGAGGAAGGUGGAAUGCUUGGUGUAGAGGUGAAAUUCGUAGAUAUCAAGCAGAACACCUGCGGCGAAGGCGGCCUUCUGGACGAUGACUGACGCUGAGACGCGAAAGCGUGGGGAGCAAACAGG
This 253-nucleotide ribosomal RNA is filed under the name uncultured bacterium. RNAcentral describes it as "partial 16S ribosomal RNA". It matches the Rfam family "Bacterial small subunit ribosomal RNA", at positions 524 to 776 of the family's 1533-position model. The record is from RNAcentral.